Long non-coding RNA from Salvator merianae (Argentine black and white tegu), 2239 nucleotides. The record is from Ensembl. NCBI's taxonomy places the organism in Eukaryota, Metazoa, Chordata, Lepidosauria, Squamata, Teiidae.
GCAAAAGUGGACUGGAAAACUAGGAAUAUCAAAGAAAGUGCCACCAAUUAAAAACAUUGCCUGUGUGUUUUGCACUGCAGCUAUACAACAACUAAAGGAGUUAGGCAGAAGAAGAAGUAAACACAAGCACAAGCAUAAGAACAAGCUCAAGUCAAGAUGGAAUCUUAUGACCUUCCCAACAGCACACACUGUCCAUCAAGGCCACUCAUCAAUAUCUAGUUUGCUUUGUUGUAACCCUUGAGAACAAAUCACAGAGGAGAUGGGACCAAUUUCAUGUCACAGAAGCAUGGAACAGGAAGAAAAAAGAUGUCUGUCUAACCAAAUUUUCUUCUGAUCAGCUAGAGUGGAGGUAAAGNCUUUUGAGAUGAAGAUAAAUAAUUGGUUCCACAGUGUCAUCUUUCUUCACAGGAAAAGAUUCUUCAGAAAUCUGCAGUAUGUAUGUCCAAAAAAUAGACUUUGGUACAGUACAGAAAACAUGGAACAAAAGACUGGUUCAAGAUUGGGAAAGCAGUAUGACAAAGCUGUAUAUUGUCACCCUAUUUAUUUAACUUAUCUGCAAGAGUGCAUCAUGGAAAAUGCGGGCUGGAUGAAUCAAAAGCCAGAAUUUAGAUUGCCAAGAAAAAUAUCAACAGAAAGUGAAGAAUUAAAGAGCUUCUUGAUGCGGUUGGAAGAGGAGAGUGCAAAUGCUGGCUUGCAGCUCAACAUUAAAAAAACCCAAAAUCAUGGAAUUCAGUCCCAUCACUUCCCAGUGAUAGAGGGGGAAGAAAUGGAAGCAGUGGCGGAUUUUAUUUUCUUGGAUUCAAUGAUAACUACAGAUGGUGACUGCAGCCAUCAAAUUAAAUGAUGCUUGCUCCUUGGGAGGAAAGCUAUAGCAAACUUAGACAGCAUAUUAAAAAGCAGAGACAUCACCUUGUCGACAAGGCCUGUAUAGUCAAAGUUAUGGUUUUCCCAGUAGCAAAUUAUGGCCAUAAGUUGGACCAUAAGGAAGGCUGCAUGCCAAAGAAUCAACAGUUUUGAAUUGUGGUGCUGGAGAAGACUUUUGACGAUCCCUUGGACUGCAGGGAGAUCCAAUCAGUCAACCCUAAAGGAAUUCAAUCCUGACUGUUGACUGGAAGGACAAAUACUAGCGGCGGAGCUCAGAUUCUUUGGCCACAAAAUGCAAAGACAGAAUUCAUUGGAAAAAGGCUCUGAUGCUGGGAAAGAUUGAAGGCAAAGAGAAAAAGGGAGGGCAAAAGAUGAGAUGGAUAGAUAGUGUCAUGAAAACAAUGAACAUGAGCUUGGGCAAAUUUUGGGAGGCAAUAGAAGACAGAAGACCCUGGCAUGGGAUCGUGAAGAGUCAGACAUGACUGAAUGAAUGAACAACAAUGACACAGUAAGUAGAUAAAUGGAGAUAAAUAGAAGAGUGGAGAAAACUGAAGUAAAGAAGAGGAGUAGAACACUAAAAUGAAUUGCUAGGUGCUGCAAAAGAGGUUGGAAUGUGUGUUUAAUUGUCUAUUAAGGGUUUUUUUUAGAACUUUAUGUAAUAUGUAUGUUUUAUAUCUUGAAAAAUAAUAAGAACUGUAAAGAUAGAUGGAUAGAUAGUUACUUAGGUAGAUAGAGUAUCUUCUGUCAACUGAGCAGAAAGAUUCCUCUGAGUGCUGUUUUUUUCUUUGCUUCUUAACUCUGUUUCCUGAUUUGUUCUUCUUUGUCCUCUGGCCCUACUUAUUUGUUCAAUUUCUAUUGCUGAUAAAUGCUUAGAAACCCUGAGAAAAGCUGACUGAUUUUAUAAGGUUAUUAUGGGGACAGAAAAAAGUACACCUUAGUAAACAUCUCUCUCUCUUUGGGCCUUCAUGGUCUUUAUAUGAUUGGAAUAAUCCCAUCUCUUUUGUUACCUUAAUCUUUUUUCUGAUUAUUUUUGUAAUUACUUUCUCAAGUUUCCCCCCGUAAUUCUUGUACUUUUAUACAUGUUCACCACAUAUGAACAUAAUUACCAUUUUCAUCACAUCCGUGCUAACAUUUGGAUGAUAGGCUGCUACCCAUAUGAGAGAGCUGAUCUGGGGUGCUAUAUCAUUUUUCUAGUAUCUACAUUCUCAUUUCUCUAAAUUUAUUAUUUUUAAUUUUCAUUAUGGCUUUUAAUAUUACCUUCAUCUUAUCUUACUUCACUAUCACAUGUUUACUCCAUUUCUGAAUUAUAAUCUUCACCAAUUCUUCUCUUCUUCCCAUUAAAAAUUUAAAUAAAAUCAUUAUAUUUCCUUGUACA